CCUACGGGAGGCAGCAGUGAGGAAUAUUGGUCAAUGGGCGCGAGCCUGAACCAGCCAAGUAGCGUGAAGGAUGACUGCCCUACGGGUUGUCAACUUCUUUUAUAAAGGAAUAAAGUGAGGCACGUGUGCCUUUUUGUAUGUACUUUAUGAAUAAGGAUCGGCUAACUCCGUGCCAGCCGCCGCGGUAAUACUGAGGAUCCGAGCGUUAUCCGGAUUUAUUGGGUUUAAAGUGAGCGGAGAUGGGGUGUUAAGUCAGUUGUGAAAGUUUGCGGCUCAACCGUAAAAUUGCAAUUGAUACUGGCAGUCUUGAGUACAGUUGAGGUAGGCAGAAUUCGUGGUGUAGCGGUGAAAUGCUUAGAUAUCACGAAGAACUCCGAUUGCGAAGGCAGCUUACUAAACUGCCACUGACAUUGAUGCUCGAAAGUGUGGGUAGCAAACAGGAUUAGAUACCCUAGUAGUC
This 460-nucleotide ribosomal RNA is filed under the name uncultured bacterium. RNAcentral describes it as "partial 16S ribosomal RNA". It matches the Rfam family "Bacterial small subunit ribosomal RNA", at positions 338 to 795 of the family's 1533-position model. The record is from RNAcentral.